UAUAGACUGCCAAGCGCUGGUGUCAUGAUAUCUAAGGUUUCAUGUUAAAGGGAAUUUGGUGUAAAUCCAAAACUGACGCGCAGCGGUAAUUGAGAACGAACAUCUAUGGGUAAAUACACCCACACACUGCAAUGAUUGCGGGAAGUGAGAUGCUAGGUUGUAGAGCGUUUUCUACAGUGCUCAUGAGUCCGAAUACCUGCCAGUAACAAAAAGUGCAA
RNAcentral lists this non-coding RNA (218 nucleotides) under Vibrio ezurae. Lineage: Bacteria; Pseudomonadati; Pseudomonadota; Gammaproteobacteria; Vibrionales; Vibrionaceae. The record is from RNAcentral. RNAcentral also lists the same sequence under 1 other name.